AUAGCAUAUCAAUAAGCGGAGGAAAAGAAACCAACAGGGAUUGCCUCAGUAACGGCGAGUGAAGCGGCAACAGCUCAAAUUUGAAAUCUGGCUCCCCCGGGGCCCGAGUUGUAAUUUGUAGAGGGCGCUUCGGCGUCGGCCCGGGCCUAAGUUCCUUGGAACAGGACGUCACAGAGGGUGAGAAUCCCGUACGUGGCCCCCGGCCUUCGCCAUGUGAAGCCCCUUCGACGAGUCGAGUUGUUUGGGAAUGCAGCUCUAAAUGGGAGGUAAAUUUCUUCUAAAGCUAAAUACCGGCCAGAGACCGAUAGCGCACAAGUAGAGUGAUCGAAAGAUGAAAAGCACUUUGGAAAGAGAGUCAAAAAGCACGUGAAAUUGUUGAAAGGGAAGCGCUUGCAGCCAGACUUGCCCGCAGUUGCUCACCCAGGCUUACGCCUGGUGCACUCUUCUGCGGGCAGGCCAGCAUCGGUUCGGGCGGUCGGAUAAAGGCCCCGGGAAUGUGGCCCCUCUCGGGGGGUGUUAUAGCCCGGGGUGCAAUGCGGCCAGCCCGGACCGAGGACCGCGCUUCGGCUAGGAUGCUGGCGUAAUGGCCGCAAGCGGCCCGUCUUGAAACACGGACCAAGGAGUCUAACAUCUAUGCGAGUGUUUGGGUGUCAAGCCCGGGCGCGCAAUGAAAGUGAACGGAGGUGGGAACCCCUCGGGGCGCACCAUCGACCGAUCCUGAUGUCUUCGGAAGGAUUUGAGUAAGAGCAUAGCUGUUGGGACCCGAAAGAUGGUGAACUAUGCCUGAAUAGGGUGAAGCCAGAGGAAACUCUGGUGGAGGCUCGCAGCGGUUCUGACGUGCAAAUCGAUCGUCAAAUUUGGGCAUAGGGGCGAAAGACUAAUCGAACCUAUCUAGUAGUGGUCUUGCACGA
RNAcentral lists this ribosomal RNA (911 nucleotides) under Astrosphaeriella fusispora. RNAcentral's name for it is "eukaryotic LSU rRNA". It matches the Rfam family "Eukaryotic large subunit ribosomal RNA", at positions 35 to 964 of the family's 3401-position model. The record is from RNAcentral. Lineage: Eukaryota; Fungi; Ascomycota; Dothideomycetes; Pleosporales; Astrosphaeriellaceae.